UCCUGGUUAACCCAGGCAGUCUCGCUAGAGUGCCCACCAUUACGUGUUGGCAACUAACGACAAGGGUUGCGCUCGUUGCGGGACUUAACCCAACACCUCACGGCACGAGCUGACGACAGCCAUGCAGCACCUGUGCAAUUGUCUCUUGCGAGAAGAUUACAUUUCUGUAACUGUCAAAAGCAUGUCAAGCCCAGGUAAGGUUCUUCGCGUUGCAUCGAAUUAAACCACAUGCUCCACUGCUUGUGCGGGUCCCCGUCAAUUCUUUUGAGUUUCACCCUUGCGAGCGUACUCCCCAGGCGGUAUACUUAUCGCGUUAGCUACGGUACUAUCAGGGUUGAGCCCAAUAACACCAAGUAUACAUCGUUUACGGCAAGGACUAC
Molecule: unclassified non-coding RNA, 380 nt
Filed under: uncultured Parachlamydiaceae bacterium
Lineage: Bacteria; Pseudomonadati; Chlamydiota; Chlamydiia; Parachlamydiales; Parachlamydiaceae
Description: contains 16S-23S intergenic spacer region
Source: RNAcentral